Long non-coding RNA from Oxyura jamaicensis (ruddy duck), 2452 nucleotides. RefSeq lists it as uncharacterized. The transcript has 4 exons. The record is from RefSeq and is a predicted model, not a curated record. NCBI's taxonomy places the organism in Eukaryota, Metazoa, Chordata, Aves, Anseriformes, Anatidae.
CCCCCCAGGAUAGAGAACGGGUUUGUAAAGGGGGAAGAUUUCCUGUUUGGGACAACUGUAGAGUUCUCCUGUCGUGCUGGGUAUAAAUUAGAAGGGUCAUCUUCUGCCCAAUGUGUGGCAUCAGGAAAUGGAGUUCGUUGGGAUGUAUCUCUUCCAACCUGUAAAAGUGGAGCGGCCACCAUCAUUGUUGGCAUCCUGCCCCUCCUCCUGGCGUUGCUGGUUAUGAGUUUCUAGAUCAGGGUGCAGCCGCAGCGGGAAUGCCCGGAUCAGCUCCUCGGGGAGCUCUGAGCUCCUACUGAUGGUGGGACAUGGUCACGCUGAUCCCUGUGCUCUGUAUUGCCCUCUGGUGAAAUGGGCCUCGUAAUAGCAAUCAACAGAUCUUCGAUGGAAAAAGAUGAACUUUACCCCCAAAUGCUCCCUCCCACUGCCCAGGACUGCUCAUGCUUCUGUCUGCCGGAGCCGUGCUUUGUGCUGGCAGCUCGCUGUCACCUAGCUUGGGCCACGGCUUGGAAACUGGGCACAGUUAUCCCCACGUGAGGUUGCAAUAGUGCCAAAGACUUUUGUGCUGUGCUGCUCUGGACUCAAGGAAAUCGGGCACUUUGGGUACCUCCAUGUGUUCUGCUUAUCAGCCCUGCUGAGGUAACGUUGUACCCGGCUCUGAUCAGGGUUUUUGGGUGUCAUAAGUGAAUUGAUGGGAAAAAUGUGAGUGUCUUUCUGUGAGUGAUAUGUACUUGAAGAAAUUAAGUUUGAUAUGUAUAGGUUGUGUAAGACAGGUGUUCCCUGUCGGUACUGAAAGCACUGAAAACAUUUGUAUAGAAGCACAUGUUGUAGCAUUUACUUCAAGGCAAGUCUGAACCACUGUGAAAAACAGCAGGCCUUACAGAUGGACAAUUUUACCAGAGAAUAAAACUGUGAAUGCCUUCUUACAAAGAACAACUCCUCCGACUCUUCCUGUAUGUGCUAAAGUUAGUGCCACAGCAGAUUCAAAAACUAUCUCUGUGAUACAUCAAGGUUUUCCUCUGACUGCCUUGCAGAAAUACCCUUCCUGUCAGUGCAGUGACUCAGUGCUGCUGUGGAAGUGGUGAAGCAGUCGGGUGCCUGAAAGCCCCAGGAGGAACAGCAGCAGGGUGGGUGCUCAGCAGGGCAGGUGGCCUCGGGGACAAAUGUGGAACUUGCAGCUGUCUCUGCAGAUGCCACCGAACGUCAGAAAGUGUCAGAAAGUUGCUCGGUGUGAACUUCUUCACUUUCUGCUCAAAUGCUGCCCGAAUAGGAGGCCCUGGGACUGCUGCAGUGGUGAAGGAGGAAAAGCAGGUUAGGGCUUCUCGCUCUGCUGGCAGCGGGGCUGGUGCACAGAGCAGCUGCUGCACCUGAAAGUUGGCACAGAUGCACACCAAGCGAAAGCCUCAGUUUACUCAUCUGGGGGGAACAAAUGCUGCAUUUUUGUGUGUGCUUUUCUGUCACCCUGUUGAACCUGUCCCACCUGGUCCCUGUGCUGAGGAGGGCUGGUGAGGGUGCUGCGCCCAGCUGAAUGAGGCAGCGUGCUGCCGCUGGGCAUGCUGGCCCCUGCUUGGCUUUGGCAGUGCCACAAGGACAGCUCUGGUGGUGGAACCUCACACCUUGUAUGGACUGAGGAUACGGGCUUAAGGUUCAGGGCUCUGAUAGGGAGGGUUAAAUGACCAGUCUGUGAGCUUUGUACCAUGGGCAGGUGGGAGAGGGAAGCCUUCAAAAUGUCUAGUACAUGCUUUUUUGUUUCUGCAUUUUCACCCGUGCUUUUCUACUAACAGGAACAUGCAUCUAAAUAGAGGGAAAAACGCAAAGAACGAUUUCCAUCAACAUGUUAGCCUCAAAUAGAAAAGUUCCCCUUACAAGCAGAGCAUCAUCCUGCUCAGCUGUCACUGUGGCACAGCAGAAUCCAGUUUUCGGAAGUAAUCUUACAAAAUAAGCAGUUGCAGAUUGUGUUUUCACUCAUAUUCAUGCAUUUGACAUAUAUAUACACAUGUAUGUGAAAUAUGUGAAUAUGUAUUUCACUAUAUAGAUGUGUGUAUAUAUAUGAAAAAUACUACUGUAAGCCACGCGAAUGACCAGGUGAUCAAAACAAAUGGAAAGCCUAGUACCUUAGUCAUGUGUUUGGUUUUAUUUUAAUCUCAGCACCAUUGUUUCUACUGCAUAGUCCAGAAAUUGUCUUGCAAAUGGUUUAGCUCCUGAUUUUAAGGAUGAGCUUGAAGUGACCUACCUUCAGCCCAAUGGAAGGAACUGUACAUGCUGUCAUAUUGCUUACAGAUGUGGUCACCAAAUUUUACGGUUGAAGAGCACUUCUAUGCUGUGUUUAUAUGUGAAUCGAAUUAAGUUGUGUAUAAUUUAACUUUAUGAUCUGAGUGUAAACCAUAUAAUGCAUAAUGUCAAAAUUGCAUGGUGUGGAAGGUCUCUGUCAAUAAAAGGGAUAAGAAAGACU